RNAcentral lists this ribosomal RNA (493 nucleotides) under uncultured bacterium. RNAcentral describes it as "partial 16S ribosomal RNA". It matches the Rfam family "Bacterial small subunit ribosomal RNA", at positions 30 to 523 of the family's 1533-position model. The record is from RNAcentral.
AUUGAACGCUGGCGGCAUGCUUUACACAUGCAAGUCGAACGGUAACAGGUUAAGCUGACGAGUGGCGAACGGGUGAGUAAUGCAUCGGAACGUGCCCGAUCGUGGGGGAUAACGCAGCGAAAGCUGCGCUAAUACCGCAUACGAUCUGAGGAUGAAAGCGGUGGACCGUAAGGCCUCGCGCGAUCGGAGCGGCCGAUGUCAGAUUAGGUAGUUGGUGGGGUAAAGGCUCACCAAGCCGACGAUCUGUAGCUGGUCCGAGAGGACGACCAGCCCGACUGGGACUGAGACACGGCCCAGACUCGUACGGGAGGCAGCAGUGGGGAAUUUUGGACAAUGGGCGCAAGCCUGAUCCAGCAAUGCCGCGUGCAGGAAGAAGGCCUUCGGGUUGUAAACUGCUUUUGUACGGAGCGAAAAGGCUCUCUCUAAUACAGGAGGCUCAUGACGGUACCGUAAGAAUAAGCACCGGCUAACUACGUGCCAGCAGCCGCCGUAA